RNAcentral lists this ribosomal RNA (561 nucleotides) under Mimachlamys sp. SS-2006. RNAcentral's name for it is "partial 16S ribosomal RNA". It matches the Rfam family "Bacterial large subunit ribosomal RNA", at positions 1828 to 2597 of the family's 2925-position model. The record is from RNAcentral. Lineage: Eukaryota; Metazoa; Mollusca; Bivalvia; Pectinida; Pectinidae.
GGCUUUCUGAGUAACAUGGGGGGUCGUGCCUUCCCGGUGGGUAUACGAGCCUAAACGGACGCGGUAAAUCGUGCUAAGGUAGCUAAAUUAUGGCCUAUUAAUUGUAGGUCCUGUGAAUGGUUUGACGAGUCCUCAACUGUCUCAAAGUUGCUUUGGUGAACUUGAAUUGGAUGUGUAAAUGCUUCCUUGGGUAAGAAAGACGAGAAGACCCCGUGAAGCUAGAAAUUCUUACAGUAGUGUCAGCACCCGCUUGUUUUCUAGGGUUAGAAGCCUAUUUGUUUCUAUAGUUAAAUUAGGUUUCGAGCGUGGGGAUGUUGUUUAUUGUGUUUUGGCUGGGGCAGCAAAAAGGCAAAGUUAGACCUUUUUUGUUUUUAUACGGGUGCGUUACGACCCAUAAAAUUAAAAAGUAUGAUUAGCAGAAAAAGUUACUCCGGGGAUAACAGCGUUAUCCACCUUGAUAGUUCGUAUAGAUGGGUGGGUUUGCGACCUCGAUGUUGGCUCUGGAUAUCCUGAGGCUUGUAGGAGGUCUCAAGGGUUGGUUUGUUCGCCCAUUAAAAUCCG